CUUGGAGGUUGUGGCCUUGAGCCGUGGCUUUCGGAGCUAACGCGUUAAGUAGACCGCCUGGGGAGUACGGUCGCAAGAUUAAAACUCAAAUGAAUUGACGGGGGCCCGCACAAGCGGUGGAGCAUGUGGUUUAAUUCGAUGCAACGCGAAGAACCUUACCUACUCUUGACAUCCAGAGAACUUUCCAGAGAUGGAUUGGUGCCUUCGGGAACUCUGAGACAGGUGCUGCAUGGCUGUCGUCAGCUCGUGUUGUGAAAUGUUGGGUUAAGUCCCGCAACGAGCGCAACCCUUAUCCUUGUUUGCCAGCGAGUAAUGUCGGGAACUCCAGGGAGACUGCCGGUGAUAAACCGGAGGAAGGUGGGGACGACGUCAAGUCAUCAUGGCCCUUACGAGUAGGGCUACACACGUGCUACAAUGGCGCAUACAGAGGGCGGCCAACUUGCGAAAGUGAGCGAAUCCCAAAAAGUGCGUCGUAGUCCGGAUUGGAGUCUGCAACUCGACUCCAUGAAGUCGGAAUCGCUAGUAAUCGUGGAUCAGAAUGCCACGGUGAAUACGUUCCCGGGCCUUGUACACACCGCCCGUCACACCAUGGGAGUGGGCUGCAAAAGAAGUAGGUAGUUUAACCUUCGGGGGGACGCUUACCACUUUGUGGUUCAUGACUGGGGUGAAGUCGUAACAAGGUAGCGCUAGGGGAACCUGGCGCUGGAUCACCUCCUUAAACGAUGAU
RNAcentral lists this ribosomal RNA (727 nucleotides) under Vibrio parahaemolyticus. RNAcentral's name for it is "bacterial SSU rRNA". It matches the Rfam family "Bacterial small subunit ribosomal RNA", at positions 816 to 1533 of the family's 1533-position model. The record is from RNAcentral. Lineage: Bacteria; Pseudomonadati; Pseudomonadota; Gammaproteobacteria; Vibrionales; Vibrionaceae.